RNAcentral lists this ribosomal RNA (450 nucleotides) under uncultured Glomus. Its description in RNAcentral is "SSU rRNA". It matches the Rfam family "Eukaryotic small subunit ribosomal RNA", at positions 569 to 1024 of the family's 1831-position model. Lineage: Eukaryota; Fungi; Glomeromycota; Glomeromycetes; Glomerales; Glomeraceae. The record is from RNAcentral.
AGCAGCCGCGGUAAUUCCAGCUCCAAUAGCGUAUAUUAAAGUUGUUGCAGUUAAAAAGCUCGUAGUUGAAUUUCGGGGUUAGUAGGUUGGUCAUGCCACUGGUAUGUACUGGUCUCACUGAUUCCUCCUUCCUGAUGAGCCGUAAUGCCAUUAAUUUGGUGUUGCGAGGAAUCUGGACUGUUACUUUGAAAAAUUAGAGUGUUUAAAGCAAGCUAACGCUUGAAUACAUUAGCAUGGAAUAAUGAAAUAGGACGUUCGAUCCUAUUUUGUUGGUUUCUAGGAUUGACGUAAUGAUUAAUAGGGAUAGUUGGGGGCAUUAGUAUUCAAUUGUCAGAGGUGAAAUUCUUGGAUUUAUUGAAGACUAACUACUGCGAAAGCAUUUGCCAAGGAUGUUUUCAUUAAUCAAGAACGAAAGUUAGGGGAUCGAAGACGAUCAGAUACCGUCGUAGU